CUUGGUCCGCCGGGCCCCGCGCAGGGCAGUGCCGCGCAGCCGGCAGCGCAGCCAGCCUCCGGCUGCCGGGGCUGCAAGGGUGGUCAUGGAAUGAGAGAGACUUCAGAGGACAUCUCACCCGAUCCCCUCGAUUUACAGAGGAGGGAGCAGAGGCUCAGAGAAAUGAAAUGAACUGGCCACGGUGACAGAGUAACAGAGUCGGGAGCUGCAGUCCUGUGUUCUUUCCAUUGUAUGAUUUGCUGGGUGAAUGGAGGCCGAGACUGGACUCCCUCUCCACCCAGGUCAAGAGAUUGGACCGGCUCCCCGCUCCUUGGGGCAGCCAUCAUCCCUCUUUUUCUGUGUCUGCUUCAUGACCACGUUAGCUUGAGUAGAAAAAGAAGUCUGGUCCAGGUCUGUUCACUGGACAAGCCCCCCUGGAUCCUGCUGUGAGCAGGCAGAACAGCGGAGCUUUGUUUAAAAAAAAAAAAAAAAAAAAAAAAAGCAGCCACAUUAGCCUUCCUGGUUGAGGGCAUCCAAACCUUUAAUUAAAUGUUUUUGUUUGCGGAGCUCUGACAAUUGAUUUUAUUUCCAAUGACUUGUUGCAA
Long non-coding RNA from Gracilinanus agilis (Agile Gracile Mouse Opossum), 584 nucleotides. RefSeq lists it as uncharacterized. The transcript is spliced from 2 exons. Lineage: Eukaryota; Metazoa; Chordata; Mammalia; Didelphimorphia; Didelphidae. The record is from RefSeq and is a predicted model, not a curated record.